AGAGUUUGAUCCUGGCUCAGAACGAACGCUGGCGGCAUGGCUAAGACAUGCAAGUCGUACGGAGUGGAAUGAGCUUGCUCGAUCCACUCAGUGGCGGACGGGAGAGUAAUGCAUGGGUAACGUACCCUGGACACGGGAAUAACCACGGGGCUUCGGCCUCUUUAGCGAAAGUGUGGCUAAUACCCGAUGAUGUCGCCUGAUCGCAUGGUCAGGCGCCCAAAGGUGGGGACCUUCGGGCCUGCCAGUCUGGGAUCGGCCCAUGUCUUAUCAGCUUGUUGGUAGGGUAAUGGCCUACCAAGGCUACGACGGGUAGCGGGCGUGAGAGCGUGACCCGCCUCAUCGGGACUGAGACACUGCCCGGACACCUACGGGUGGCUGCAGUAACGAAUAUUGGGCAAUGGGCGCAAGCCUGACCCAGCAAUGCCGCGUGCAGGAGGAAGCCUUUCGGGGUGUAAACUGCUGUCAGGGUUUAGCAAGCAAUGUAGGUUAAUAGCCUGCGGCGCUGAGCAGACCCAAAGGAAGCCUCGGCUAACUCUGUGCCAGCAGCCGCGGUAAGACAGAGGAGGCAAGCGUUGUUCGGAAUCACUGGGCUUAAAGCGGGUGUAGGCGGCUUGGUAAGUGUCCUGUGAAAGCCCACGGCUCAACCGUGGAAUUGCAGGGCAUACUGCCUGGCUUGAGGUUGGUAGAGGUGCCUGGAACUCUAGGUGGAGCGGUGAAAUGCGUAGAUAUCUAGAGGAACGCCAGAAGCGAAAGCGGGGCACUGGGCCAAUCCUGACGCUGAGACCCGAAAGCGUGGGGAGCAAACAGGAUUAGAUACCCUGGUAGUCCACGCCGUAAACGAUGCACACUAGGUGUCGGAGGCUCUGAUGCCCUCGGCGCCGAAGGAAAACUAAUAAGUGUGCCGCCUGGGGAGUACGGCCGCAAGGCUAAAACUCAAAGGAAUUGACGGGGGCUCACACAAGCGGUGGAGCAUGUGGCUUAAUUCGAAACAACGCGAAGAACCUUACCCAGGUUUGACAUGCUUGGAUGCUCUCCGGGGAUAACCCGGGGUAGCUGCCCUUCGGGGUGAAACUUGCACAGGUGUUGCACGGCUGUCGUCAGCUCGUGCUGUGAAGUGUCGGGUUAAGUCCCUUAACGAGCGAAACCCCUAUCGUUAGUUGCCAGCGGGUCAUGCCGGGGACUCUAGCGAGACUGCCGGCGUUAAGCCGGAGGAAGGUGGGGACGACGUCAAGUCAUCGUGGCCUUUAUGCCUGGGGAUGCACACGUGCUACAAUGGCCGCUACAGAGGGAAGCGAUACCGCGAGGUGGAGCAAAUCCCAAAAAAGCGGCCUCAGUUCGGAUUGGAGUCUGUAAUUCGACUCCAUGAAGUCGGAAUCGCUAGUAAUCGCGUAUCAGCUACGACGCGGUGAAUGUGUUCCUGAGCCUUGUACACACCGCCCGUCAAGUCAUGGAAGCUGGUAGCACCCGAAGUCCGCUUAGCUAACC
Molecule: ribosomal RNA, 1485 nt
Filed under: metagenome
Description: bacterial SSU rRNA
Rfam family: Bacterial small subunit ribosomal RNA
Source: RNAcentral